This 413-nucleotide ribosomal RNA is filed under the name uncultured bacterium. Its description in RNAcentral is "bacterial SSU rRNA". It matches the Rfam family "Bacterial small subunit ribosomal RNA", at positions 30 to 433 of the family's 1533-position model. The record is from RNAcentral.
AUUGAACGCUGGCGGCAUGCUUUACACAUGCAAGUCGAACGGCAGCGAGGAGAAGCUUGCUUCUCUGUCGGCGAGUGGCGAACGGGUGAGUAUAGCAUCGGAACGUGCCAAGUAGUGGGGGAUAACCAAACGAAAGUUUGGCUAAUACCGCGUAAGCUCCAAGGAGGAAAGUAGGGGACCUAAAUAAGGCCUUACGCUAUUUGAUCGGCCGAUGUCGGAUUAGCUAGUUGGUGGGGUAAUGGCUCACCAAGGCAAUGAUCCGUAGCGGGUCUGAGAGGACGAUCCGCCACACUGGGACUGAGACACGGCCCAGACUCCUACGGGAGGCAGCAGUGGGGAAUUUUUGGACAAUGGGGGAAACCCUGAUCCAGCCAUGCCGCGUGUAUGAAGAAGGCCUUAGGGUUGUAAAGUAC